Molecule: long non-coding RNA, 687 nt
Organism: Lycium ferocissimum
Lineage: Eukaryota; Viridiplantae; Streptophyta; Magnoliopsida; Solanales; Solanaceae
Exons: 3
Source: RefSeq, a predicted model, not a curated record
UCUCCCUUUUUCCACUAUGGGUCUCCCUAUUUUCUUUUCCUAUUCUCCAUGUUCUCUCCUACAAGAGCAAUUUGAAACGCAUUUGGCUAAAUUCCAAAGUAAGGAGGCCUUUACAGAGUUCAAAAUCCCUCCAGACAAAUAUGUGAUUUUUCUUGGUGGCAUUCAAAACCCCUCUUGACUUUGAAAUUCAUCCCUCCAGGCCACCCAGCCUUGUGAAUACAAUUCCAAGUAAUGUUUUAUGCCUUCAAUGGGCAGGAGUUGAGACUCUAAAAGGUGAGGUUCAUAGCUUUGUUUGACGUAGAGAGUAGAAAGAUUUGUAUGGAACUUUCUUGAAUAUUUAUCUUCAAAUGCUGAAACGAGCGUGACUGGUGAUGGACAAAGCAAAUGAAGAGUCAGAGAGAAGAAGCAAGUUCUGCAAAUGUUUGAUACAGAAGAAGAAGUCAGUAGAGGACAAAGCAUUUGAAUGUGCACCUGAGAGCCCUAAGAUAUGCCAUUUUCUCUGCAAAAUUCUACUUUAAAGUGUGCAAGAGACAAUCUUGAUGCUAUUUUACUCAAUAUAUGGACCGGCUUCGCAUUGUAUUGUGGGAAAUAGCUUUGGUUCAUAUGUGAAAGAUUCCACAGGAGUUUUCUUGGACUUCUUAAUUGAUAAGGUGUUUGUUCUUCUACUCAGAAUUUUUGUUGAACUUU